This 496-nucleotide ribosomal RNA is filed under the name uncultured bacterium. RNAcentral's name for it is "partial 16S ribosomal RNA". It matches the Rfam family "Bacterial small subunit ribosomal RNA", at positions 28 to 507 of the family's 1533-position model. The record is from RNAcentral.
GAUGAACGCUGCGGCGUGCCUUAUACCUGCAAGUCGAGCGAACAGACGAGGAGCUUGCUCCUCUGACGUUAGCGGCGGACGGGUGAGUAACCCGUGGAUAACCUACCUAUAAGACUGGGGUAACUUCGGGAAACCGGAGCUAAUACCGGAUAAUAUAUUGACCCGCAUGGUUCAAUAGUGUAAGACGGUUUUGCUGUAACUUAUAAAUGGAUCCGCGCCGCAUUAGCUAGUUGGUCAGGUAACGGCUUACCAAGGCAACGAUGCGUAGCCGACCUGAGAGGGUGAUCGGCCACACUGGAACUGAGACACGGUCCAGACUCCGACGGUAGGCAGCAGUAGGGAAUCUUCCGCGAAGGGCGAAAGCCUGACGGAGCAACGCCGCGUGAGUGAUGAAGGUCUUCGGAUCGUAAAACUCUGUUAUUAGGAAAGAACAAAUGUGUAAGUAACUAUGCACGUCUUGACGGUACCUAAUCAGAAAGCCACGGCUAACUACGUG